Molecule: transfer RNA, 78 nt
Filed under: Methylotenera sp.
Lineage: Bacteria; Pseudomonadati; Pseudomonadota; Betaproteobacteria; Nitrosomonadales; Methylophilaceae
Description: tRNA-Leu
Rfam family: tRNA
About the family: Transfer RNA (tRNA) molecules are approximately 80 nucleotides in length. Their secondary structure includes four short double-helical elements and three loops (D, anti-codon, and T loops).
Source: RNAcentral
GCUCCAGUAGCCCAAUUGGCAGAGGCAAUAGGUUUAAGCCCUAUUAAGGUGUCGGUUCGAAUCCGUCGUGGAGUACAA